UGAUUUGUUUAGAGAAGUAUAUCUAUAACACCACUCAGAUCCCUUGAGAAUCUGGAGUUUGGGCCCUAACCUUCUAGCUUCCUAGUGUGGCUAGAUCUAGAAUUUGUGUUAUCAAUUAUAUGGUUGUCAUCCCUUGUGUGGAUUGACCUAAAAUCCCUUAUAGAUUGAUAAAUUGAUAUGCUAUUUUUUCGAGGAAGUUGGUAUUCCC
Molecule: long non-coding RNA, 208 nt
Filed under: Lathyrus oleraceus (garden pea)
Lineage: Eukaryota; Viridiplantae; Streptophyta; Magnoliopsida; Fabales; Fabaceae
Description: Pisum sativum (pea) long non-coding RNA (PSAT_LNC025374)
Source: RNAcentral